UGCCUGUGACGUUCAAACAUUUUUCCGUACCAUCUGAGAUUUCUUUCUCUGAUGUAUUCUCUCGAAGAUUUGAUUCUGAGGCAU
Small nucleolar RNA from Hibiscus syriacus, 84 nucleotides. RefSeq annotates it as small nucleolar RNA snoR117. NCBI's taxonomy places the organism in Eukaryota, Viridiplantae, Streptophyta, Magnoliopsida, Malvales, Malvaceae. The record is from RefSeq and is a predicted model, not a curated record. The transcript has a single exon.